AGCCUCCAUGUAGUUGCUGAAAGCUGGACGUGAUGUGCCUGGUACAAAGAACUGUGGUAUUUGGUGUUAGCAACAUAGUGGUGAGCUGGGGCAGGAUGGCUAGCGGAGGCUGGAGUUGGGUAUUGACCUUAUCCCACCUGGAAGACUUCUCCCAGUAGAGGAACUUGAAGAAAAAGGAGGAAUCAAGUGAGCAACAAGGAAGGCUCAAAUGAGGACCAAGAAAAUCCAGUUGUUCAGUACUUAUUGAAUUCCUACUAUGUGCAGUGUUCCGGGAAUACAAGAAUGAACAGAGCAGAAGGCCUGCCCUCAUAGAACUUAACAUUCUGUGGGGAGGUAAGGGAUAAGCCAACGACAUAUAUGAGGUCAGUGCUGAAGGCCAGGCAGAGAAGUGAAGCAGCCUGAGGAACCAGAA
Zalophus californianus (California sea lion) is the source of this 412-nucleotide long non-coding RNA. RefSeq lists it as uncharacterized. The transcript has 3 exons. The record is from RefSeq and is a predicted model, not a curated record. Lineage: Eukaryota; Metazoa; Chordata; Mammalia; Carnivora; Otariidae.